Molecule: ribosomal RNA, 253 nt
Filed under: uncultured bacterium
Lineage: Bacteria
Description: partial 16S ribosomal RNA
Rfam family: Bacterial small subunit ribosomal RNA
Source: RNAcentral
UACGGAGGAUCCAAGCGUUAUCCGGAUUCAUUGGGUUUAAAGGGUGCGUAGGCGGAAUAGUAAGUCAGUGGUGAAAGCCUACAGCUUAACUGUAGAAUUGCCAUUGAUACUGCUACUCUUGAGUGCAUUUGAAGUGGGCGGAAUGUGUCGUGUAGCGGUGAAAUGCUUAGAUAUGACACAGAACACCAAUUGCGAAGGCAGCUCACUAAACUGUAACUGACGCUGAGGCACGAAAGCGUGGGGAUCAAACAGG